GGAUCUUAGCUCAGCUGGGAGAGCAUCUGCCUUACAAGCAGAGGGUCAUAGGUUCGAGCCCUAUAGGUCCCA
This 72-nucleotide transfer RNA is filed under the name Eubacterium sp. RNAcentral's name for it is "tRNA-Val". It matches the Rfam family "tRNA". From Rfam's summary of the family: Transfer RNA (tRNA) molecules are approximately 80 nucleotides in length. Their secondary structure includes four short double-helical elements and three loops (D, anti-codon, and T loops). The record is from RNAcentral. RNAcentral also lists the same sequence under 3 other names. Lineage: Bacteria; Bacillati; Bacillota; Clostridia; Eubacteriales; Eubacteriaceae.